AACAACCCAUACUCUCACUAUUCUUCUUUAACAACUCACCCUUCCUCAUCUCUCUCUUAUAUGAAACACACACACUCAUCACGAAAGGUGGGGGAUUAUCUUUGCACAAGAGAGAGGGAACAGAAAGAAAACAACGGGCAGCCUUCUUCCUCAAUUCGAGUUUCCGUCUUUCUAGGAUAAAACAAAAAAACUUUCAGCCAUUCCUUAAAUUCAGCUUCAUCUUCAAUACAUAUCACUACAAAUCCACUUUGAAUCCACCUGAAAUUUCAUAAAAAUCAGUGACAAGGUAGCACAUAUCAGUCCCAAUCUCAAUCAUUAAAAAUAUUCAAGCCUAGUCGAGUAUGUCUGAGGUUCGUCGAACUCCGGCAAGCUACGAAUUCGAGGUUCUAGAGUCACGGUCUUGGUCGUCUUUUAGUUUUGAGCAAACAAAGUCAGAUCCUCCUUGCUAAAAGGUAUUUUUGUUUUGCUGAGCUUCAUUCUGCCUUUUGUCUAGCCUUUAUUUGGCACUCAUAGAGUAAUUCCCGUACAAUCAGGUAUUCAUCCUUUGAAUUCAAGUUAUUGUUCUAUAAAAAAAAUAAAGUGAAUCAAUUCUUCUAUUUUGCUAUGAAAUCUGGAUUCGUUUUCUGCUAUUCACAUACAGAAUCUCUCAUGUUUAGAUUAUUAUUUAGUAGAUUUGAAGUUACAUUGACUUUGUGAUGAUUUAUUUGUGCCUAGGUUAAUGAGUUGAUUUAUACAAGUGUGCAGUGCCUUCCAUAGAUUAUCAUAUCUACCAUCCUAUGUCUCAAAUGGCUUUGAUUAUUUAGUGAAUUAGAAAAGGAGUUGUUUAAGAUGUUUUUUUUUAGUCACUAACAGUAAAUAAAAAGAGUUGUUGAAUAUUGAAUCUGGAAAUGUAGAGCCAAAGCAUUCGAGCAGAAAUAAUGGUAGUUCACCUUAUGUUAUUGUAAAUUUCGAGUUUCAAUUUUAUGUACUAAGUUAGUGUGGUAAUUUCAAACUUGUUUGAUCACAUAGACAAAGGAAAAAAACGAGGAAAAAGACGAAGAGAAAGAAGAGUACAGAAAACGC
Molecule: long non-coding RNA, 1062 nt
Filed under: Nicotiana tabacum (common tobacco)
Lineage: Eukaryota; Viridiplantae; Streptophyta; Magnoliopsida; Solanales; Solanaceae
Description: long non-coding RNA (NTAB_LNC002961)
Source: RNAcentral